The sequence is a ribosomal RNA, 434 nucleotides long. It matches the Rfam family "Bacterial small subunit ribosomal RNA", at positions 341 to 792 of the family's 1533-position model.
ACGGAAGGUAGCAGUGGGGAAUAUUGCACAAUGGGGGAAACCCUGAUGCAGCGACGCCGCGUGAGUGAAGAAGUUAUUCGUAAUGUAAAGCUCUAUCAGCAGGGAAGAAAAUGACGGUACCUGACUAAGAAGCCCCGGCUAACUACGUGCCAGCAGCCGCGGUAAUACGUAGGUGGCAAGCGUUAUCCGGAUUUACUGGGUGUAAAGGGCGCGUAGGCGGGGAUGCAAGUCAGAUGUGAAAUCUAUGGGCUCAACUCAUAAACUGCAUUUGAAACUGUAUCUCUUGAGUGCUGGAGAGGUAGACGGAAUUCCUUGUGUAGCGGUGAAAUGCGUAGAUAUAAGGAAGAACACCGGUGGCGAAAGCGGUCUACUGGACAGUAACUGACGCUGAGGCGCGAGAGCGUGGGGAGCAAACAGGAUUAGAUACCCUGGUA